AACGAACGCUGGCGGCAUGCCUAACACAUGCAAGUCGAACGAGACCUUCGGGUCUAGUGGCGCACGGGUGCGUAACGCGUGGGAACCUGCCCUUAGGUUCGGAAUAACUCCCCGAAAGGGGUGCUAAUACCGGAUAAUGUCUUCGGACCAAAGAUUUAUCGCCUUUGGAUGGGCCCGCGUUGGAUUAGCUAGUUGGUAGGGUAAAAGCCUACCAAGGCGACGAUCCAUAGCUGGUCUGAGAGGAUGAUCAGCCACACUGGGACUGAGACACGGCCCAGACUCCUACGGGAGGCAGCAGUGGGGAAUAGUGGACAAUGGGCGAAAGCCUGAUCCAGCAAUGCCGCGUGAGUGAUGAAGGCCUGAGGGUUGUAAAGCGCUUUUACCCGGGAUGAUAAUGACAGUACCGGGAGAAUAAGCUCCGGCUAACUCCGUG
Molecule: ribosomal RNA, 433 nt
Filed under: uncultured bacterium
Lineage: Bacteria
Description: partial 16S ribosomal RNA
Rfam family: Bacterial small subunit ribosomal RNA
Source: RNAcentral